Molecule: ribosomal RNA, 223 nt
Filed under: uncultured bacterium
Lineage: Bacteria
Description: partial 16S ribosomal RNA
Rfam family: Bacterial small subunit ribosomal RNA
Source: RNAcentral
UACGAAGGGGGCUAGCGUUGGUUCGGAGUUACUGGGCGUAAAGGGCGCGUAGGCGGCGCAUCAAGUCAGGCGUGAAAGCCCUGGGCUCAACCCGGGAAUUGCGCUUGAGACUGGUGUGGCUUGAGUACGGGAGAGGAUAGUGGAAUUCCCGAGUGUAGAGGUGAAAUUCGUAGAUAUUGGGAAGAACACCGGUGGCGAAGGCGGCUAUCUGGGACCGUAACUG